ACGGAGGGUGCAAGCGUUAAUCGGAAUUACUGGGCGUAAAGCGCACGCAGGUGGUUUGUUAAGUCAGUUGUGAAAUCCCCGGGCUAAACCCCGGAAUUGCCUCUGAUAAUGGCAAGCCUGAGUCUCGUAGAGGGGGGUGGUAUUUCAGGGGUAGCGGUGAAAUGCGUAGAUGUCCGGAGGAGUACCGGUGGCGAAGGCAGCCCCCUGGACCAAUACUGACGCUCAGGUACGAAAGCGUGGGGAGCAAACAG
RNAcentral lists this ribosomal RNA (251 nucleotides) under uncultured prokaryote. Its description in RNAcentral is "partial 16S rRNA". It matches the Rfam family "Bacterial small subunit ribosomal RNA", at positions 525 to 775 of the family's 1533-position model. The record is from RNAcentral.